GGAAAGGGGAAAGGUGGAGGUUUCCUAUAUUGUCAAGAUUGGCAAGUGAUAUACUCGCUAUUCCAGUUACAACCGUGGCGUCCGAAUCUACUUUCAGUGCUGGUGGUAGAAUAAUCGAUGAUAGGCGUGCUUCUAUGUCCGUUGAAACGGUUCAAAUGCUACUUUGUGGGAAUGAUUGGAUCCGCAAUCUUCAUGGGUUAAAAAACAAGUCUCGUGAACCACUCGAUGUUUCCGAAUCAUCUACAAUUGAAGAAAUUGAUCUUCCGGACAUUUGAAGGCUGUUUUCUGGAAUAUGUGAUGCUGUUUCUUGUGAUUUGUAAAGCUGGACUUGUGAAGCUGUGCUUUUUCUUGUGAUUUCUGAAGGGGUUGUACUUUUUCUUGUCAGGUGUUUGAAGUUGGACAAUUUUUAAGCUAUGUAGCAGUGUUUUACAUGGUUAUUUAGUUGUAGUUUGUGCGUUUAUUUGGCUGGACAAAACCUGUUAUGGUAUAUUGGCUCUUAUGAAUGUUGUCUCAUAUGGAAUUAGACUGUAGUUUGUGUAUUUGUUGACUGCAGUCCCUGGAGUUUGUGUUGUAUGGAUCAUGGAUGUUAUGGUCUUAUUUGUCUUGGAUGAAAUGUGGUUAGAGUUUGUGUAUUGUUGAAUGUGAAUGGCAUUGGUUGCCAAUCCUAAUAUUUUUUGUUGA
Non-coding RNA from Coffea arabica (coffee), 681 nucleotides. The record is from RefSeq and is a predicted model, not a curated record. Lineage: Eukaryota; Viridiplantae; Streptophyta; Magnoliopsida; Gentianales; Rubiaceae.